GGACGAACGCUGGYGGCGUGCUUAACACAUGCAAGUCGAACGGAAAGGCCCUGCUUGCAGGGUACUCGAGUGGCGAACGGGUGAGUAACACGUGGGUGAUCUGCCCUGCACUUCGGGAUAAGCCUGGGAAACUGGGUCUAAUACCGGAUAGGACCAUCGUUUAGUGUCGGUGGUGGAAAGUUUUUCGGUGCAGGAUGAGCUCGCGGCCUAUCAGCUUGUUGGUGGGGUAAUGGCCUACCAAGGCGUCGACGGGUAGCCGGCCUGAGAGGGUGGACGGCCACAUUGGGACUGAGACACGGCCCAGACUCCUACGGGAGGCAGCAGUGGGGAAUAUUGCACAAUGGGCGCAAGCCUGAUGCAGCGACGCCGCGUGGGGGAUGAAGGCCUUCGGGUUGUAAACUCCUUUCAACCAUGACGAAGCAUUAUGUGACGGUWGUGGUAGAAGAAGCACCGGCUAACUAC
This 462-nucleotide ribosomal RNA is filed under the name Corynebacterium variabile. RNAcentral's name for it is "bacterial SSU rRNA". It matches the Rfam family "Bacterial small subunit ribosomal RNA", at positions 27 to 504 of the family's 1533-position model. The record is from RNAcentral. Lineage: Bacteria; Bacillati; Actinomycetota; Actinomycetes; Mycobacteriales; Corynebacteriaceae.